AAUAUUGCAGCUAUUUGUGAACGAAUUUUUCUCGUAAGGAGAUAUUUACCAUGUCUCUAAGAAAUGGACCCAUAUAUGAUUUCUAAACUGAUUAAAUGAUGUUCCCAUUAUGCUUUGCACGCUUAGAGUUUAAGGUUUGCAAAGGACAACCUUUUUUGAAUUAGCUGUAUAUAAUAAAACAAUUAUUGAAUUCGGUUUUCGUAUGAUAUCCGGCUUCGGUGGAUAACACAAACCUCGGCCUUGAUAAUUCUCGAUAUCAUACGAAAACCGAAUUCAAUAUUAAGUCUACUGCGACGGCACAAUUACGACUAAUGAUAAAACCAUGUUCGCAUUUUCAAUUUCAUCUAUUUUUCCAAUAUAUAUUUCCCUUCGCUUCCAACGCUGGUACCGAGGUCAGCUACACGCGUAAGAAAUCUCACAUCUUGUAGCAAGUCUGCCAACACUGCUUGUCCCAACUUGUCAACAAGUUUGGAACAAGCUGUUAACAACUUGUAACAAUCUUGUUGAUACUAUCAGACUUGUUGCAAGGUUGUUCCAACAAGUCCGAUACAGUCAUGAGAUAACAAUAUUGUCACAACCUUUUGUCGUCAACCUUGUAACAUGCUUGUUAUAUCAUGACUGUAUCAGACUUGUUAGAACAACCUUGUAACAAUAUGUUUGCGAUGUUACUCUGAGUGCAUAUCCACACCGGGCGAGCUUGAAAAAUAUGCCCGGCCACGGUGGGAUUCGAACCUACGACCUUUGGAAUACUAGCCCAAUGCUCUUCCAACUGAGCUACGCGGUCA
This is a non-coding RNA of Paramuricea clavata, 785 nucleotides long. NCBI's taxonomy places the organism in Eukaryota, Metazoa, Cnidaria, Anthozoa, Malacalcyonacea, Plexauridae. The record is from the annotation of a GenBank genome assembly.